Molecule: RNA transcript, 1418 nt
Organism: Populus euphratica (Euphrates poplar)
Lineage: Eukaryota; Viridiplantae; Streptophyta; Magnoliopsida; Malpighiales; Salicaceae
Gene name: integrator complex subunit-like protein
Exons: 7
Source: RefSeq, a predicted model, not a curated record
CUAAAACGUUAACAUUGACAUUGAAAUUCCAAAAGCGGCAUAAAGGGCAGGAAAAUGGGGACGCGGAUGAUGCAGAAGACGAGAAAUUUCAGGAAGAGGACCUUCGAAGAAGAUGAGGAUAGCAAAGCAUCAGACGACGACGAACAAGAAAGAAGAUUGGCAUUAGAAGAGGUGAAAUUCCUGCAGAAACAGAGGGAGAGGAAGUCAGGAAUCCCUGCAUUAGCAACAACUUCGCAAACUGCAACCACAGUAGCUGCCAAAUUAACCGAAAAGACCGAUGGAGAUGGCGAAAAAGAAGAGCUUGUUCUUCAAGACACUUUUGCUCAAGAAACUGCUGUCAUGGUCGAAGAUCCCAACAUGUUGCAGUAUGUUGAGCAAGAAUUGGCCAAGAAAAGAGGGAAGAAUAUUGAUGCAACUGAUCAAGUUGAGACGGAGUUGAAGCGUGCUGAAGAUGAACUAUACAAAAUUCCGGAGCAUCUUAAAGUGAAAAAGCGAAACUCAGAAGAAAGCUCUACUCAGUGGACUACUGGGAUUGCGGAGGUUCAGCUACCCAUUGAAUACAAACUGAGAAAUAUUGAGGAAACAGAGGCAGCCAAAAAGCUUCUACAGGAGAAAAGGCUAAUGGGUAGACCAAAAUCAGAAUUUAGCAUCCCUUCCAGCUACAGUGCUGAUUAUUUCCAACGCGGCAGGGAUUAUGCUGAGAAACUUCGACGAGAUCAUCCUGAGCUGUACAAGGACAGGAGUUUGCAGGAUGAUGCUGUUGCUGGAUCCAAACCAGCUGAUAAGAGCACUGAUGCAGCUGGACGGAGGCUAGCUGCAACGGAUGAGUUCAUGCUAGAGCGCUUCCGAAAACGAGAACGUCAUCGGGUCAUGCGAAGAUAGCAUGCACUUCAAACAUGCGACAUUCUGAGAAAAGUAACUUGGCAAGGAUGGCUCAUUUUUUGUUGUAACCUUCGCUGCUUCAAAUUCUUAGCAACAUAAGAUGGUAUGGUCACUGCAACCACUCAUAUGAUUCAACUUGCCUGUAUGGUCAUGCAGCAAGACAGGGAUUGGGUAAUUAGAUUGGAAAUGUCACCAAUCCCUCGUUUUGCAAAUAACUAGCAGCUCGUUCAAAUCAUGGUUGUCAAUUGACAAAUUGAGGUCGACGGUACUUUACAUCUAUAAGGUAUGGGUUGAAGGUUGUGGCAGAAUGGGGCUUAGCUGUAGUUUUAAUUCAAUGUUCUUGCGUGUUUGGUUUAAGCAACCUAUAUCGUAUGAAGGCUUUGGUUUUUCUUUUCAUCCGUGAAACUAUUUCACCUGUUUUAAAAACUAAGAAAGUGUAGAACCGUGUUUGUUCACAUCUGCAUUGCAGCGCAGAUUAUAUGAUAAUGUAGAUUAGCUCUAAUGAAAUAAAGCCAUGCUCGAUCCAUUUGCCAUGG